GAUGAAGAACGCAGUGAAAUGCGAUAAGUAAUGUGAAUUGCAGAAUUCAGUGAAUCAUCGAAUCUUUGAACGCACAUUGCGCCCGGUAGUAUUCUGCCGGGCAUGCCUGUUCGAGCGUCAUUUCAACCAUCAAGCCCCAGCGCUUGUGUUGGGGGCCUGCGGCUGCCGCAGCCCCCCAAAAGCAGUGGCGGGCUCGCUAUCACACCGAGUGCAGUAGUUCAUCUUCUCUCCGGUCUUGUGAGGCGGGUUCCGGCCGUGAAACACCCCACUACAUUCAAGGUUGACCUCGGAUCAGGUAGGAAUACCCGCUGAACUUAAGCAUAUCAAUAAGCGGAGA
RNAcentral lists this unclassified non-coding RNA (337 nucleotides) under soil metagenome. Its description in RNAcentral is "partial contains 5.8S ribosomal RNA, internal transcribed spacer 2, and large subunit ribosomal RNA". The stretch from base 1 to 120 matches the Rfam family "5.8S ribosomal RNA", at positions 35 to 154 of the family's 154-position model. The record is from RNAcentral.